This 1358-nucleotide non-coding RNA is filed under the name Osmundea sinicola. RNAcentral's name for it is "small subunit ribosomal RNA". It matches the Rfam family "Bacterial small subunit ribosomal RNA". The record is from RNAcentral. Lineage: Eukaryota; Rhodophyta; Florideophyceae; Ceramiales; Rhodomelaceae.
AAUAUUAAGAGUUUGAUCCUGGCUCAGAAUGAAUGCUAUUGAUUAAUUUUACACAUGCAAGUUACAAAUAUUAAUUCAGUAUUUUAGCGUACGGGUGAGUAAUAUGUAAAAAUUAUUUAAAUUUCCAAAUUUAAAGAUUUUGCACAAGAUUAAGUUUUAAUAAAUUUUUAAUUUUUUAUUAGCUUACAAUCUUUAGUUGGUCUUUGAGGAUGAUCAACCACAUUGGAAUUGAAAAAUGGUUCAAACUUUAUUUAGGCAGCAGUGAAGGAUAUUGGACAAUGAGCGAAAGCUUGAUCCAGUUAAAUCAAUUAUGUGAUGAAGAUUUUUUAUUGUAAAACAUUAGCUAAUAAAAAAAUAAUGAUUUUUAUUAACUUAACUCUGGCUAAUUUCGUGCCAGCAGCCGCGGUAAAACGAGAAGGGUUAGUGUUAUUCAGAUUUAUUGGGCAUAAAGAAUUAUUAGGUUGCAAAUUUAUGAAAAAUAUUUUAAUUUAAAAAGAAAAUUUUAUUUUUACUAAAAUUAUUACAUUAAUUUGCUAGAGUUUAAUAAUAAAAGAUUAUAGAAUUUUAAAUGUAACAGUAAAAUGUAUUGAUAUUUAAAAGAAUUUCAAUAGUAAACUCAGUAAUCUAAAUUAAAACUGACACUUUUUAAUUAAAGUAUAGGUAGCAAAAGGGAUUAGAUACCCCUGUAGUCUAUACCCUGAACUAUGAAUGUUUUUAUAAAAUAUCUUGUUUAUAAUUAAGUUAAUACAACAAACAUUUCGCCUGGGAACUACGAUCGCAAGAUUAAAACUUAAAGGAAUUGACGGGAAUUCAAACAAGCAGUGGAACAUGUGGUUUAAAUCGACAGUACGCGCGAAACCUUACCAAUUUUUGAAUUUUUUAACAAGUGUUGCAUGGCUGUCGUCAGUCCGUGCUUUGAAGUGUUUGGUUUAUUCCAAUUAAACGGACGAAACUUUUCUUUGCUUUUCUUUGCUUUUAUAACUAAGGAUAUCUUAUUAGAAAAAAACAACGUCAAGUCCUCAUGACCUUUAUAAAUUGGGCUACUUUCAUGUGUUACAAUUUUUUUUACAACGUUUAAUUAAAUAUAAAAAGAAAUUUUUAAUAAUAUUAAAAAAAAAUUCGGAUUGUUUUCUGAAAUUUGAAAAUAUGAAGUUGGAAUUGCUAGUAAUCGUUAAUAAGAAUGUAACGGUGAAUAUGUUCUUGAAUUUUGUACACACCGCCCGUCACGCUAUGGGAAUUUAAUUUAUUUGAAGUUUAAUAUAAUUAUUAAUUAUUUUAUUUUAAAGUAAAUAAAGGACUGGAGUGAAGUCGUAACAAGGUAGCCGUAGGGGAACCUGUGGCUGGAUUAAUAUAUUUAA